This 380-nucleotide unclassified non-coding RNA is filed under the name uncultured bacterium. RNAcentral describes it as "contains 16S-23S intergenic spacer region". The record is from RNAcentral.
UCCGAGUUGACCCCGGCAGUCUCCUAUGAGUCCCCGGCAUUAUCCGCCGGCAACAUAGGACGAGGGUUGCGCUCGUUGCGGGACUUAACCCAACAUCUCACGACACGAGCUGACGACAGCCAUGCAGCACCUGUGUUACGGCUCCCUUUCGGGCACCCCCGCAUCUCUGCGGGGUUCCGUACAAGUCAAGGGUAGGUAAGGUUUUUCGCGUUGCAUCGAAUUAAUCCACAUAAUCCACCGCUUGUGCGGGUCCCCGUCAAUUCCUUUGAGUUUUAAUCUUGCGACCGUACUCCCCAGGCGGGAUGCUUAAUGCGUUAGCUGCGACACCGAGAGGCAGACCCUCCCGACAUCCAGUUCUCAUCGUUUAUGGCGUGGACUAC